UACGUAGGGUGCAAGCGUUGUCCGGAAUUAUUGGGCGUAAAGAGCUCGUAGGCGGCUUGUCGCGUCGGCUGUGAAAGCCCGGGGCUUAACCUCGGGUCUGCAGUCGAUACGGGCUGGCUAGAGUGUGGUAGGGGAGAUCGGAAUUCCUGGUGUAGCGGUGAAAUGCGCAGAUAUCAGGAGGAACACCGGUGGCGAAGGCGGAUCUCUGGGCCAUUACUGACGCUGAGGAGCGAAGGCGUGGGGAGCGAACAGG
RNAcentral lists this ribosomal RNA (253 nucleotides) under uncultured bacterium. Its description in RNAcentral is "partial 16S ribosomal RNA". It matches the Rfam family "Bacterial small subunit ribosomal RNA", at positions 524 to 776 of the family's 1533-position model. The record is from RNAcentral.